Molecule: long non-coding RNA, 333 nt
Filed under: Prunus persica (peach)
Lineage: Eukaryota; Viridiplantae; Streptophyta; Magnoliopsida; Rosales; Rosaceae
Description: long non-coding RNA (PPER_LNC006788)
Source: RNAcentral
AAGAUCAUUAGCCCAAAUGUUCCUUCCAUCAACCAAUCCGGCAAAGAGGUAUUUUCCUUUAGGGAAUUCACCCUUAAUCAAAUCAAGGGUCUUAGUACCACGAACUAAAUCAAAACCAUAUGCGGUGACACCUUUCAAGGAAGUGAGGGUCUUGAAUGCCUCAGCAGGAACAUCAGCAAAGUAGGUCUCAAUAAGAACAUUCAAGCCAGAUAGAGUUGAUUCCAGGUGAGAGUAGGCAUCAGUGAAUGCUUGCAACUUGUGAGAAUCAAGAUCCAUAACAAGCGUGGGCUCAUCAAACUGAAUCCAUGAAGCUCCAGCAGCCUUAAGCUCAGA